RNAcentral lists this ribosomal RNA (468 nucleotides) under uncultured bacterium. RNAcentral's name for it is "partial 16S ribosomal RNA". It matches the Rfam family "Bacterial small subunit ribosomal RNA", at positions 28 to 507 of the family's 1533-position model. The record is from RNAcentral.
GACGAACGCUGGCGGCGUGCUUAACACAUGCAAGUCGAACGGAAAGGCCCUGCUUUUGUGGGGUGCUCGAGUGGCGAACGGGUGAGUAACACGUGAGUAACCUGCCCUUGACUUUGGGAUAACUUCAGGAAACUGGGGCUAAUACCGGAUAGGAGCUCCUGCUGCAUGGUGGGGGUUGGAAAGUUUCGGCGGUUGGGGAUGGACUCGCGGCUUAUCAGCUUGUUGGUGGGGUAGUGGCUUACCAAGGCUUUGACGGGUAGCCGGCCUGAGAGGGUGACCGGCCACAUUGGUACUGAGAUACGGCCCAGACUCCUACGGGAGGCAGCAGUGGGGAAUAUUGCACAAUGGGCGGAAGCCUGAUGCAGCAACGCCGCGUGCGGGAUGACGGCCUUCGGGUUGUAAACCGCUUUCGCCUGUGACGAAGCGUGAGUGGCGGUAAUGGGUAAAGAAGCACCGGCUAACUAUGUG